Molecule: ribosomal RNA, 460 nt
Filed under: uncultured bacterium
Lineage: Bacteria
Description: partial 16S ribosomal RNA
Rfam family: Bacterial small subunit ribosomal RNA
Source: RNAcentral
CCUACGGGGGGCAGCAGUGAGGAAUAUUGGUCAAUGGGCGAGAGCCUGAACCAGCCAAGUCGCGUGAAGGAUGAAGGAUCUAUGGUUUGUAAACUUCUUUUAUAUGGGAAUAAAGUGAGGAACGUGUUCCUUUUUGUAUGUACCAUAUGAGUAAGCAUCGGCUAACUCCGUGCCAGCAGCCGCGGUAAUACGGAGGAUGCGAGCGUUAUCCGGAUUUAUUGGGUUUAAAGGGUGCGUAGGUGGUUAAUUAAGUCAGCGGUGAAAGUUUGUGGCUCAACCAUAAAAUUGCCGUUGAAACUGGUUGACUUGAGUGUAUUUGAGGUAGGCGGAAUGCGAGGUGUAGCGGUGAAAUGCAUAGAUAUCACGCAGAACACCGAUUGCGAAGGCAGCUUACUAAACUAUAACUGACACUGAGGCACGAAAGCGUGGGGAGCAAACAGGAUUAGAUACCCGAGUAGUC